AUGAACGCUGGCGGCGUGCCUAAUACAUGCAAGUCGCGCGAACGGACGAGAAGCUUGCUUCUCUGAUGUUAGCGGCGGACGGGUGAGUAACACGUGGAUAACCUACCUGUAAGACUGGGAUAACUUCGGGAAACCGGAGCUAAUACCGGAUAAUAUUUUGAACCGCAUGGUUCAAAAGUGAAAGACGGUCUUGCUGUCACUUAUAGAUGGAUCCGCGCUGCAUUAGCUAGUUGGUAAGGUAACGGCUUACCAAGGCAACGAUGCAUAGCCGACCUGAGAGGGUGAUCGGCCACACUGGAACUGAGACACGGUCCAGACUCCUACGGGAGGCAGCAGUAGGGAAUCUUCCGCAAAGGGCGAAAGCCUGACGGAGCAACGCCGCGUGAGUGAUGAAGGUCUUCGGAUCGUAAAACUCUGUUAUUAGGGAAGAACAUAUGUGUAAGUAACUGUGCACAUCUUGACGGUACCUAAUCAGAAAGCCACGGCUAACUACGUG
RNAcentral lists this ribosomal RNA (496 nucleotides) under uncultured bacterium. RNAcentral describes it as "partial 16S ribosomal RNA". It matches the Rfam family "Bacterial small subunit ribosomal RNA", at positions 29 to 507 of the family's 1533-position model. The record is from RNAcentral.